GCAAAUAAGGUGGCUCAUGAAAUUGCUAGGCUAGCAAAAUUUUCAGUUACUACUGACUGGUUUGAGGAGCCUUUGAGGGACAUUGUACAUUUACUUAGUGGUUGAAGUGUUGCUAUGAUAAACAUGGAUUCAAGAGUAGAUAAAAAUCUUCUUCCAUCAGAUGCAUGUGGGCUCCUUAUUAAAGGACAAUGAAGGUUGUCGGCCACCAUUGUUCUGUGAGGUCAUAUUGAUUUGGGAACGAUAGAAAGAAUGCCUAACUACAUACCUGCAAUCAAAAAAAAAAUAAACCAUGUUAUUGCUAGAACAUUCCGUUCACAGUAUAGCGAUAAUGAAGUAAUCCUAGGCCUCUAUUUCAGUGUUAUGUAAUCUACUAUUCAGUUAGCUCUAACUGAUUCAUGUUCUGUUUCCUCCUUAUGGUAUGUUCCGAUGGGAUUAAAACUUGCCAUGUGGAGUUUAUUUUCUGUUCGACCUUGCAGCUAUCAACCCUUUUCUGUUCAUUCAAAAUUGUCGCUUAAUGUUCUGUUUAUAGAACUGGAAUAAUCACGCAAGUCCUCACUUCCUUUUUCAUUUGGAUGCUUAUCAUAAAGUAUUAGAGGCUGAAUCGCCAUACGAAUUCCGAACAUGUACUUAUAGUCUCAAAUGAAUAAAAUGCAUGCACUCUUAACUUAUCCGAAGUGGGCUAUAUAUGAUUCAUUUUUAUGUCAUUCAUAUUUAAGCCACCCACUUAUCAUGUCUUCUCUCAACUGUGGGCCUGUGACCAUAUACUAAUGAAAAUAUUGCCAAAAGGAUGAUACAUGGACAAUGUGUUUGCAAACUAAAUACAUGCAUUAGAAGUUAAAAUCAAACCUGAAAGUGACUAAAGUUAGCACUGAUAAAGCUUAGGCAGAUUCAAGAGUAAGAAAAUCUUGGUCAGUCAUUUGAAUGUGAGAUGCUGAUUCAGGAGCAAAGAAAGUUAUCCCUCUUCAGUGUUGUGUGUGGCCAUACUGAUUUGGGUAAAAUACAAAAAUAGAAUGUCUAGACUCUACUGUAUAGCUGCAAGCAUAAACAAACCGGCCAUUUUAUUGCAUCCAGAUUGUAGUAUAGAAAUCUACAAUAGAACAUGUCAUCAUACAGUGAUAGUUUUAAUAUCAGCAGAAGAAUUAAAAUGCAGCAAGAAGAAUCAAUGCCUACAUCUAGGGGGACCAGAUGGUUGAAGAGAAUCAAAAGGGCAUGUAGAUGGGACAAUCCCAAUGAACAACAGUAAGGGAAAAGGGGAAGAAAUUAGAAUAUAGCAUGGUUUGAAAGCUCAAUCACAGGUGGACGCAUAUCGGUGCCUACCUCCGCGGGGUAGAUUUAAUAAGAAUUGUCAUAUUGCCGGUGGCAUGCAGUCUGCUUCUAAAUUAAGAGAUGAAGGUACACGGGGUCAUCCAUAACAGCAAAAGUAAAGGAAGGAAAUGGAUCUGCAUGACGAAUAGGUCGAUUAUAAGAACAGAAGAGAAACUGGAACAUUAUGUAUAAGGAACUAAUCUAAGCAAUCUUUGAUUACACACAAAAGAAAUUUCAGUGGUGACGCUUCAUUAUGAGGAAAUAAUCAACAGGGAGAAAAAAAUCCACAACCUAGAUAGAGCAUGUGUAACAGAUGACGACGUCUCUCUCCGCAGGGUGGCCGGAGGCGUAUCGUCGCUUGGGGGCACGGCGAGGCGGCUGCAGUGGCGUCAACAGGAGCAGCACGGCUUCCAAAGUGGGCUGCUGGCGGUUGUACGGACGGCUGGGGGAGGCAGGAGACCUUGUGUGGAUUGACGAAGCGGUU
Molecule: long non-coding RNA, 1789 nt
Filed under: Triticum aestivum (bread wheat)
Lineage: Eukaryota; Viridiplantae; Streptophyta; Magnoliopsida; Poales; Poaceae
Description: long non-coding RNA (TAES_LNC002505)
Source: RNAcentral